This 348-nucleotide transfer-messenger RNA is filed under the name pig gut metagenome. It matches the Rfam family "transfer-messenger RNA". Rfam says of the family: Bacterial tmRNA, also known as 10Sa RNA or SsrA, is named for its dual tRNA and mRNA-like properties. Its role is to liberate the mRNA from a stalled ribosome. To accomplish this part of the tmRNA is used as a reading frame that ends in a translation stop signal. The record is from RNAcentral.
GGGGGUGCAAUGGUUUCGACGGGGAUGUUGAAUCCCGAGCAGCGAGUAGUGUUGAGUACCACUUAAAUCGGCUCAAACUUUAAAUAUAAACGCUAACGAUUACGAAUUAGCAGCUGCCUAAAUUGCAGCGUGUCUCCUCCGAGAGUACCACGGCUCGGACUGAGGCAAAUAUCAGUGGUGAACGUGAGUUAAGGGGCGUCCUGACCUUUUCCAUGAUUUAAGGACUUACCGAUGAUAUAACUUUGGUUGUGGAGUGGUAUCAUCGGGAAUUAUAAUCACAACCUGCACUCGGAGAAGCUUGGGUGGAUAUGUUUUCGGACAGGAGUUCGAUUCUCCUCACCUCCACCA